GUAUGCUCAAUUUAAAAAAAAAUGCGGUGCACUAUCUAAACAACUGGCGCUGUGCCGUUACACAAAUUAUACUUCACUGUUAUUACUCUACACGCUCUCACUGCCUGAAAUUAAAAGUGGAAUAUCUCGUGAACGAGUUGACGGAAAUCGAAAAUUUCAACACUAAAAUGUAUUUUAUUUAAUAUUCAAUAUAUUUAUUUGAUACAGGUUUUUAUUUGAAAAAUCAAAGUUGGUAUCGCUACACAAUACUCCUUA
This is a non-coding RNA of Cinara cedri, 255 nucleotides long. The record is from the annotation of a GenBank genome assembly. Lineage: Eukaryota; Metazoa; Arthropoda; Insecta; Hemiptera; Aphididae.